RNAcentral lists this ribosomal RNA (1135 nucleotides) under Hypoxylon fragiforme. Its description in RNAcentral is "eukaryotic LSU rRNA". The stretch from base 550 to 1135 matches the Rfam family "Eukaryotic large subunit ribosomal RNA", at positions 1 to 596 of the family's 3401-position model. Lineage: Eukaryota; Fungi; Ascomycota; Sordariomycetes; Xylariales; Hypoxylaceae. The record is from RNAcentral.
GAUCAUUAGAGGAAUACCCAAAACCUCCCAACCCCUGUGAACUUACCACUGUUUCCUCGGCGUGCGCACCUGGUUGCCCGCGGGGGAUCCGAGCCUACCCUGUAGCUACCCUGUAGCUACCCUGUAGACCCGGGUCCUCAGCACACGGCGCCGCUCAAGGUCCCGCCGAAGUACCCUGAACUCUGUUUAACGUGGAAUUCUGAAUGCUUCAACUAAAUAAGUUAAAACUUUCAACAACGGAUCUCUUGGUUCUGGCAUCGAUGAAGAACGCAGCGAAAUGCGAUAAGUAAUGUGAAUUGCAGAAUUCAGUGAAUCAUCGAAUCUUUGAACGCACAUUGCGCCCAUUAGUAUUCUAGUGGGCAUGCCUAUUCGAGCGUCAUUUCAACCCUUAAGCCUCUGUUGCUUAGCGUUGGGAGUCUACGGGUUACCCUGUAGUUCCUGAAAACCAUUGGCGGAGUCAGGGAGCACUCUAAGCGUAUUACACAAUCUUUUUGUCUCGCUUUGGAUAUUGCCCCGCCUCCACGCCGUAAAACCCCCCAUAUCAAAUGUUGACCUCGGAUUAGGUAGGAAUACCCGCUGAACUUAAGCAUAUCAAUAAGCGGAGGAAAAGAAACCAACAGGGAUUGCCCUAGUAACGGCGAGUGAAGCGGCAACAGCUCAAAUUUGAAAUCUGGCCCUCGUGGUCCGAGUUGUAAUUUGUAGAGGAUGCUUUUGGUGCGGUGCCUUCCGAGUUCCCUGGAACGGGACGCCAGAGAGGGUGAGAGCCCCGUACGGUUGGACACCUACCCUAUAUAUAGCUCCUUCGACGAGUCGAGUAGUUUGGGAAUGCUGCUCUAAAUGGGAGGUAAAUUUCUUCUAAAGCUAAAUACCGGCCAGAGACCGAUAGCGCACAAGUAGAGUGAUCGAAAGAUGAAAAGCACUUUGAAAAGAGGGUUAAAUAGCACGUGAAAUUGUUGAAAGGGAAGCGUUUGCGACCAGACUUUUUCCAGGGGGAUCAUCCGGUGUUCUCACCGGUGCACUCCGCCUGGUUUAGGCCAGCAUCGGUUCUCUUAGGGGGAUAAAGGCUUGGGGAACGUAGCUCCUUCGGGAGUGUUAUAGCCCCUUGCGUAAUACCCUUCGGGGGACCGAGGAUCGC